This 247-nucleotide ribosomal RNA is filed under the name uncultured bacterium. Its description in RNAcentral is "partial 16S ribosomal RNA". It matches the Rfam family "Bacterial small subunit ribosomal RNA", at positions 15 to 252 of the family's 1533-position model. The record is from RNAcentral.
GAUCCUGGCUCAGGAUGAACGCUGGCUACAGGCUUAACACAUGCAAGUCGAGGGGAAACGACGGGGAAGCUUGCUUCCCCGGGCGUCGACCGGCGCACGGGUGAGUAACGCGUAUCCAACCUGCCUCUGACUGAGGGAUAACCCGUCGAAAGUCGGCCUAAUACCUCAUGGCAUCGUCUGCGGGCAUCCAACGACGAUUAAAGAUUUCAUCGGUCAGGGAUGGGGAUGCGUCUGAUUAGCUGGUUGG